Molecule: ribosomal RNA, 844 nt
Filed under: uncultured bacterium
Lineage: Bacteria
Description: SSU rRNA
Rfam family: Bacterial small subunit ribosomal RNA
Source: RNAcentral
CAUGGCAGUCGAACGCGAAAGAGUUCUUCGGAACUUGAGUAGAGUGGCGCACGGGUGAGUAACGCGUAAGUGAUCUACCCCUGUAUCUGGAAUAACCAUGGGAAACUGUGGCUAAUACCGGAUACGUUCAUGUGAUUGCGGUCAUGUGAAGAAAGAUGGCCUCUGACAUAAGCUAUCGUACAGGGAGGAGCUUGCGUACCAUUAGCUAGUUGGCAGGGUAAAGGCCUACCAAGGCGACGAUGGUUAGCGGGUCUGAGAGGAUGAUCCGCCACACUGGAACUGAAGCACGGACCAGACUCCUACGGGAGGCAGCAGUGAGGAAUAUUGCGCAAUGGGGGCAACCCUGACGCAGCGACGCCGCGUGGAUGAUGAAGGCCUUCGGGUCGUAAAAUCCUGUCGGAUGGGAAGAAGUGUAAUGUGGUUAAUACCCAUGUUAUUUGACGGUACCAUCAAAGGAAGCACCGGCUAACUCCGUGCCAGCAGCCGCGGUAAUACGGAGGGUGCAAGCGUUGUUCGGAAUUACUGGGCGUAAAGCGCGCGUAGGCGGUUUGUUAAGUCAGAUGUGAAAGCCCAGGGCUUAACCCUGGACGUGCAUUUGAAACUGUCAGACUUGAGUAUUGGAGGGGGUGGUGGAAUUCCCGGUGUAGAGGUGAAAUUCGUAGAUAUCGGGAGGAAUACCGGUGGCGAAGGCGACCACCUGGCCAAAUACUGACGCUGAGGUGCGAAGGCGUGGGGAGCAAACAGGAUUAGAUACCCUGGUAGUCCACGCGGUAAACGAUGAGAACUAGGUGUUGGGACGGUUGAUCGUCUCAUUGCCGCAGCUAACGCAUUAAGUUCUCCGCCU